GAUGAACGCUGGCGGCGUGCCUAAUACAUGCAAGUCGAGCGAACAGACGAGGAGCUUGCUCCUCUGAUGUUAGCGGCGGACGGGUGAGUAACACGUGGAUAACCUACCUAUAAGACUGGGAUAACUUCGGGAAACCGGAGCUAAUACCGGAUAACAUGUUGAACCGCAUGGUUCAAAAGUGAAAGACGGUCUUGCUGUCACUUAUAGAUGGAUCCGCGCCGCAUUAGCUAAUUUGUAAGGUAACGGCUUACCAAGGCAACGAUGCGUAGCCGACCUGAGAGGGUGAUCGGCCACACUGGAACUGAGACACGGUCCAGACUCCUACGGGAGGCAGCAGUAGGGAAUCUUCCGCAAUGGGCGAAAGCCUGACGGAGCAACGCCGCGUGAGUGAAGAAGGUCUUCGGAUCGUAAAACUCUGUUAUUCGGGAAGAACAAAUGUGUAAGUAACUAUGCACGUCUUGACGGUACCUAAUCAGAAAGCCACGGCUAACUACGUG
RNAcentral lists this ribosomal RNA (497 nucleotides) under uncultured bacterium. Its description in RNAcentral is "partial 16S ribosomal RNA". It matches the Rfam family "Bacterial small subunit ribosomal RNA", at positions 28 to 507 of the family's 1533-position model. The record is from RNAcentral.